Non-coding RNA from Musa acuminata subsp. malaccensis (wild Malaysian banana), 567 nucleotides. Lineage: Eukaryota; Viridiplantae; Streptophyta; Magnoliopsida; Zingiberales; Musaceae. The record is from RefSeq and is a predicted model, not a curated record.
GUCAAAAGUCAAUAAUGGUACAUGUAUGGAGAGGCCGAGUCAUCACCCGUGUGACCGAUUUCGGUGCCGAGUCGUACUUCCCCAUGUGCCUCACUCACCUGUACGACCCAGAAGGAAACACAGCGUGCGCGUACGAUCGAGAACGAAACAGAGCCUCCGCACUGCACCGGGAAGGGGAAAAUACGUGGUCGCGGCAGCGUCACCUCCUUCAUCCACCGCCGAGCCCGGUUGUGGAUUCCGCAGGGCUCGCAGAAAGGCGCGAUCUUGAGCGUGGAUUCCCGGCUUCCGGUGCUCAAUUUGCUUGGCCUGCAAGAAAGAUGGCAGCUUGAUUAGGACGAGCACUUCAUCUGAUUUCGGCGAUAUUGUUCUCAAACAGUCUCUUACAGAGACUGAGGGGUUUGAUCAAGAAAGAAGAAGGAAUAAAGGGAAGAAGGCUGGAAUACGCAGAAUCCAUAUUGACCAAAAAGGAGAGAUUUUGUGGUCCUUUUUUAUUCUUCUUCAACAUGGUAACCUCAUCUCUCUGUUGAUUGCCAGUCCAGAUUGAGAGAGAGAGAGAGAGAGAGAGAG